AUUCCAGCUCCAAUAGCGUAUAUUAAAGUUGUUGCAGUUAAAAAGCUCGUAGUUGGAUUUCUGGUUAGAUGCGCCUGGCCCGCCGACGUUCAGUCGUGUGAAGUGCUGGUGCGCAACUGCCAUCCUUCUAGAGAAGGGACCAACGGUUCAUUCCGGUUCGGUUCACAAUCUAGAUCUUUUACUUUGAAAAAAUUAGAGUGUUUAAAGCAGGCUUUUGCUAUGAAUACAUUAGCAUGGAAUAAUAAUUUAGGACUCUGUUUCUAUUUUGUUGGUUUCUGGAAACGGAGUAAUGAUUGAUAGGGAUUGUUGGGGGUGCUAGUAUUCAGCGGCCAGAGGUGAAAUUCUCGGAUUCGCUGAAGACUAACUUAUGCGAAAGCAUUCACCAAGGAAGUCUUCAUUA
This 400-nucleotide ribosomal RNA is filed under the name Filosa sp. RNAcentral describes it as "partial small subunit ribosomal RNA". It matches the Rfam family "Eukaryotic small subunit ribosomal RNA", at positions 582 to 975 of the family's 1831-position model. The record is from RNAcentral. Lineage: Eukaryota; Cercozoa.